Molecule: unclassified non-coding RNA, 239 nt
Filed under: uncultured fungus
Lineage: Eukaryota; Fungi
Description: partial contains 18S rRNA, ITS1, 5.8S rRNA, ITS2 and 28S rRNA
Source: RNAcentral
AAGGAUCAUUACCGAGUGAGGGUUUCCUUACAGAGCCCGACCUCCCAACCCUGUGUCUACCACACCUUGUCGUUGCUUCGGCGGACCGGUCGACCCACCGGUCCUGACUGCCGGGGGAACCCCCCUGGAGAGCGUCCGCCGAUGGCCCAAACACAAAACUCUUGUACCCACUCUUGUCGUCUGAAUAUUUGAUCAUAAUCAAAACCAAAAAACUUUCAACAACGGAUCUCUUGGUUCUG